AACCUGCGGAGGGAUCAUUACAGAGUUGCAAAACUCCCACAAACCAUCGCGAAUCUUACCCGUACGGUUGCCUCGGCGCUGGCGGUCCGGAAAGGCCUUCGGGCCCUCCCGGAUCCUCGGGUCUCCCGCUCGCGGGAGGCUGCCCGCCGGAGUGCCGAAACUAAACUCUUGAUAUUUUAUGUCUCUCUGAGUAAACUUUUAAAUAAGUCAAAACUUUCAACAACGGAUCUCUUGGUUCUGGCAUCGAUGAAGAACGCAGCGAAAUGCGAUAAGUAAUGUGAAUUGCAGAAUUCAGUGAAUCAUCGAAUCUUUGAACGCACAUUGCGCUCGCCAGUAUUCUGGCGAGCAUGCCUGUUCGAGCGUCAUUUCAACCAUCAAGCUCUGCUUGCGUUGGGGAUCCGCGGCUGUCCGCGGUCCCUCAAAAUCAGUGGCGGGCUCGCUAGUCACACCGAGCGUAGUAACUCUACAUCGCUAUGGUCGUGCGGCGGGUUCUUGCCGUAAAACCCCCCAUUUCUAAGGUUGACCUCGGAUCAGGUAGGAAUACCCGCUGAACUUAAGCAUAUCAAUA
This 568-nucleotide ribosomal RNA is filed under the name Neurospora sp. E10527a. Its description in RNAcentral is "eukaryotic LSU rRNA". The stretch from base 212 to 365 matches the Rfam family "5.8S ribosomal RNA". Lineage: Eukaryota; Fungi; Ascomycota; Sordariomycetes; Sordariales; Sordariaceae. The record is from RNAcentral.